RNAcentral lists this long non-coding RNA (327 nucleotides) under Anolis carolinensis (green anole). RNAcentral's name for it is "lncRNA (ENSACAG00000038645.1)". Lineage: Eukaryota; Metazoa; Chordata; Lepidosauria; Squamata; Anolidae. The record is from RNAcentral.
AUGGCUCACUGGACACUAGCAAUGAGAAUAAAAAGAAAGAGGAGGAAGUGUCAUUUAAGAAAACAUCUGUACUUCAAUUCAAAUAUCACCAUGGUACACGAAAAAAGACAUCUGUUAGCAUUCUGUGAAGAGAGAAGGAAGAGGAAGACAGGAACAAAAAAAACCAAGUAUGACUCUAAAUACAUGCAUAUAUGUAUGUCGUAUAAUAUAAUUUUAGACUCCAGGUGGCUUGCAAUAGUUAAAAUAAACAUACCAAAAACUAAAAGCAUACAAAACUUAAAAAGGGGAUAUUAUUUCCUAAAGGCUGUGAAUAUACAAUAUUUCUGA